RNAcentral lists this long non-coding RNA (1107 nucleotides) under Olea europaea (common olive). RNAcentral's name for it is "long non-coding RNA (OEUR_LNC005994)". Lineage: Eukaryota; Viridiplantae; Streptophyta; Magnoliopsida; Lamiales; Oleaceae. The record is from RNAcentral.
GUGACUGUUUGAAUCUUAAUUUUCUAACCGACCGACCAAAAAAGAAAAUCGACGCACAGUCGUCUGAAAAUUGCCCGAUCAACCACCGGCCAACUACACCACUGUCGUAGUGAUCUAAAUCGACGACCACGCAUCUACAUCGGAAAGAAUACCGGUUAGUUUUCUCGCACAGUAUGAGUUCCAGUUGAAAAUUUAUUGAAUAAUAUUAGAUUUAAUUAGAUGAGUAUUCGGUUUAAUUAGAUCAUGAGCAUGAGCAGUAUUAGAUUGUGGGCAUACUGGGAUGAAAAAUGUGAUAUUUUUUUGUAAUUUUUGGACCUAUGACGUCGGCAAUGACGAUUUCCGACCAGAAUCGCGAAAAACGGUGCUGUUAGCAGUCGGAUUAACCCGACUGUUAAUAGUCGUAGGCCGACUGUUAACAGUCGAUCUAGUUUUUAAAAUGUAUUUAAUUUGAAAUUUUUUGUUUGUAAAUAUAUUUUUCAAAUGAUUACAAGAGUAAUUUUCUUUAUAAUUAAUUUAUUUUAAUUUGAUUAAAUAAUAAUUAUGUUAUUUAUUUAUUUAAUUUUUAUAAUUGCCUUUUUUUAUAUAAUUUAAUAAUUGAAUAGAUAACGUUGUCCGAAAUUAACAAAUCUUUUUUUUCUUUUAUUGUUCUUUUACCUUUGAUUUUGUUUCGAAUUUAUUUAAAUAAUAUUUAUAUUCUUUAAUUUUUUUGAAAAUGUAUUUAAUUUGAUUUUUUUAAAAUAUAUUUUUCAAAUAUAAUAUUUGUGAUUAAUUUUCUUUAUAACUAAUUUAUUUUAAUGCGUAUUGUAUGGUAGUUAGAAUUCGGUUCCCUAGAUUUUGUGAGAUUAUGCUUCCUUUUGUUAUCUGUUAUUCAAUGCUCUAACAUUUGAAUUUUUGCAGGAUGAAGUAUCAUUUAGAUGGGGAGUUGAGACGGAUGGCGGGGAAGGCUACUUGAAACAGUAGCUUUAAGAGUUUUACUGCUGUGUUGGAGCUGCUCGAUGAUCAGCACAGAGAUAUGCUACGACAGUCCUUCUUAUGGCCACUGUACUAGUUGCGAGAGGUGCAGUACUCAGGACAGAUCAUCGAUGCACUUCUAUGUCGGCUUCUGAG